Molecule: ribosomal RNA, 468 nt
Filed under: uncultured bacterium
Lineage: Bacteria
Description: partial 16S ribosomal RNA
Rfam family: Bacterial small subunit ribosomal RNA
Source: RNAcentral
GACGAACGCUGGCGGCGUGCUUGACACAUGCAAGUCGAACGGAAAGGCCCUGCUUUUGUGGGGUGCUCGAGUGGCGAACGGGUGAGUAACACGUGAGUAACCUGCCCUUGACUUUGGGAUAACUUCAGGAAACUGGGGCUAAUACCGGAUAGGAGCUCCUGCUGCAUGGUGGGGGUUGGAAAGUUUCGGCGGUUGGGGAUGGACUCGCGGCUUAUCAGCUUGUUGGUGGGGUAGUGGCUUACCAAGGCUUUGACGGGUAGCCGGCCUGAGAGGGUGACCGGGCACAUUGGGACUGAGAUACGGCCCAGACUCCUACGGGAGGCAGCAGUGGGGAAUAUUGCACAAUGGGCGGAAGCCUGAUGCAGCAACGCCGCGUGCGGGAUGACGGCCUUCGGGUUGUAAACCGCUUUCGCCUGUGACGAAGCGUGAGUGACGGUAAUGGGUAAAGAAGCACCGGCUAACUACGUG